RNAcentral lists this ribosomal RNA (719 nucleotides) under uncultured archaeon. RNAcentral's name for it is "bacterial SSU rRNA". It matches the Rfam family "Archaeal small subunit ribosomal RNA", at positions 140 to 859 of the family's 1478-position model. The record is from RNAcentral.
CUGAGGAUAAUACUGGAUAGGCAAUUUUUCCUGUAAUGGUUUUUUGUUUAAAUGUUUUUUCGCCUAAGGAUGGGUCUGCGGCCGAUUAGGUAGUUGGUUAGGUAACGGCUUACCAAGCCAUUGAUCGGUACGGGUUGUGAGAGCAAGAGCCCGGAGAUGGAACCUGAGACAAGGUUCCAGGCCCUACGGGGUGCAGCAGGCGCGAAACCUCCGCAAUGUGAGAAAUCGCGACGGGGGGAUCCCAAGUGCCAUUCUUAACGGGAUGGCUUUUCAUUAGUGUAAAGAGCUUUUGGAAUAAGGGCUGGGCAAGACCGGUGCCAGCCGCCGCGGUAACACCGGCAGCUCUAGUGGUAGCAGUUUUUAUUGGGCCUAAAGCGUCCGUAGCCGGUUUAAUAAGUCUCUGGUGAAAUCCUGUAGCUUAACUGUGGGAAUUGCUGGAGAUACUAUUAGACUUGAGACCGGGAGAGGUUAGAGGUACUCCCAGGGUAGAGGUGAAAUUCUGUAAUCCUGGGAGGACCGCCUGUUGCGAAGGCGUCUAACUGGAACGGUUCUGACGGUGAGGGACGAAAGUUAGGGGCGCGAACCGGAUUAGAUACCCGGGUAGUCCUAACUGUAAACGAUGCGGACUUGGUGUUGGGGUGGCUUUGAGCUGCUCCAGUGCCGAAGGGAAGCUGUUAAGUCUGCCGCCUGGGAAGUACGGUCGCAAGACUGAAACUUAA